RNAcentral lists this ribosomal RNA (469 nucleotides) under Ramularia sp. KACC 42489. Its description in RNAcentral is "eukaryotic LSU rRNA". The stretch from base 129 to 282 matches the Rfam family "5.8S ribosomal RNA". Lineage: Eukaryota; Fungi; Ascomycota; Dothideomycetes; Mycosphaerellales; Mycosphaerellaceae. The record is from RNAcentral.
GCUUCGGUCUACCCCUCCCACCCCAUGUUUACUGUAAUCGUUGCUCAUGCAGAUAGCCUAACAGCGUCUGCAUGAGAGCAUUAACCCUUUAAAUUUGAGAAUUAUCUGAGUAAAAAGAAACAAAACAAAACUUUCAACAACGGAUCUCUUGGUUCCAGCAUCGAUGAAGAACGCAGCGAAAUGCGAUAGCUAGUGUGAAUUGCAGAUUUAUGUGAAUCAUCGAGUCUUUGAACGCACAUUGCGCCCCUUGGCUUGCCAGGGGGCAUGUCUAUCUGAGCGUCGUUACAACUCUCAAGUUUUACUUGGUAUUGGUGGUUGUCCUACUCGCUAGGGCACUGCUUAAAUCGAACCCGACGUGCCUGUCUAGGAACGCAGCAGAUUUUGCAAUCCUUUAGGCACAGAUGGGCCACUUCGAGUGGAGCCUUCUAUAGUUGACCUCAGAUUAGAUAGGGAUACCCGCUGAACUUAA